UAAUACGUAGGGGGCGAGCGUUGUCCGGAUUCAUUGGGCGUAAAGAGCUCGUAGGCGGCUUGGCAAGUCGGGUGUGAAACCUCCAGGCUCAACCUGGAGACGCCACCCGAGACUGCUAUGGCUAGAGUCCGGUAGGGGACCACGGAAUUCCUGGUGUAGCGGUGAAAUGCGCAGAUAUCAGGAGGAACACCGGUGGCGAAGGCGGUGGUCUGGGCCGGCACUGACGCUGAGGAGCGAAAGCGUGGGUAGCAAACAGGAUUAGAUACCCUGGUAGUCCACGCCGUAAACGUUGGGCACUAGGUGUGGGGCCUUAUCAACGGGUUCCGUGCCGUAGCUAACGCAUUAAGUGCCCCGCCUGGGGAGUACGGCCGCAAGGCUA
RNAcentral lists this ribosomal RNA (379 nucleotides) under uncultured bacterium. Its description in RNAcentral is "bacterial SSU rRNA". It matches the Rfam family "Bacterial small subunit ribosomal RNA", at positions 521 to 896 of the family's 1533-position model. The record is from RNAcentral.